UGAAAUUUACAAUUAACGCCUUUAUUUUAUUCAUUUACUAAUUUUCACACGUGAAUUCACAUUCACUCGUUGGGACGAGGUCAACGAGGGUGGACCGACAAAACACAAUCGAUAAACUCCGAUGUCUCUGUCAAUGUCUCCUCGCGUUUCCUCUGUUUCGGUUCUGUCACCACCGUUCAGAGACAUCCACGUUCUCUUCUGAUUCUUACAUUCUUUCUUGGUCCUCUUCCUCCUAAUCUCACCUGAACAAAGAACAUGGUCAUUAUGGUGAUGGUCGGAUUGGGACUAUUGGACUUCCUCGUUGCCGGGGUUUCAUUAAUCAUUGGUUUGGCCUUCAUUACCUUCAUUGCUUCCAUUCUCUGCGCCACAGCGUUCUUCAACAACGCCAAGGAUGUCGUCUCCUGAGUGCUGAAUCCUCAAUUCGAUGGUUCGAUCUUGACUUUCAAUUUUUCGAUUUUGUGUGUGUGUUUUUUUUUGUUACAAUGACGACAAGGUUAGAAACUAGGACCUUGUGCAAACUAUUCAAAAUCUUCAACCAUUAGGCUGACUUUAGUGGGUUUAAUUUUGAGUAUUAAAGUAGACUAUUUUUUUUUUAUUCGUAAGAAUUGAAUAUAGUUAAUCAAAAUUUUUUAGGAUUUAAAAAAUGUUGCGGGGCCGAAAUUUUGGAUGCAGAGUCAAUGUGGUCGCAAUUGUCUGCAAUUUCCCCCACAACAUCAAGAAUUGCAACUUAAAAGAUAAAACCUUGGUUUGUUCUUGUUCGGUUCCUUGUUGAGUUUGGUUAGAAUCUAUUGUGUUUAUUACUUUAGGUAAAAAUACUUACCUCUUGACGUUGUUCUCCGAUUAGAAUUAGAGUUUUUUUCUGGAUAAUUCGUGUAACAAAUGUUUAAAUUAAAGGUUAGUAUAGGUUUAUAAGGCGAAACUAUAAUUCAGAUCAAAGAACAACAAUGAAAACAUACGAGGAAUUUGUUUUAAGUUUUGUCCUUUUAUUUAUUCCUGUGUGGAAUAAGAAUGCUUUUGUAUCCUAAAUUGUGAUUAAGGCGCUGUAAGCUUAACUAUUAGAUUAGGAUUUGUUGCUAAUUAGGAAUUUGUAUCCUAGAUUGUGAUUAUGGCGCUGUAAGCUUAACUAUUAGAUUAGGAUUUGUUGCUAAUUAGGAAUUUGUAUCCUAGAUUGUGAUAAUGGAGCUGUAAGCUUAACUACUAGAUUAGGAAUUUGUUACUAAUUAGGAUUUUUCCCUCUUUGUCUCUCAACAUUGAUGUGUGUAUUCAUGGAAUAUUGCCAUUUAUGAUUAUUCAAUAUUUGUUAUUCUGCACUUUAGGAUUUCAGACUUAAUUUAUCUUUUAUCGUCCCAAUUUUAAGUUCAUUUUUCAGUUUUGGUUAUGGAAAUUCUUUUUACCCGUGGUGGCAGAUUAGAAAACAGCCAUAUCACGAGUUCUACCCAACCCUAUGAACUAAUAGGAGGAAACUCUGGGCUAUAUGAACUACUGCUGCUGGCACAAACUCAACAAAUUUAUGAUGUAUUUAAUUUCGAAGUAGGGUAGAGAAUUUUGAGUUUCACCAUGUUGGAACUAUAGACCUCUAAUGUUUGUGCUCUAAAGUUUUUGAUAAUUAUGUAAUUUUAAAGAUGGAAUGAACUCACUGACAACAUUUUUAAGUGUGCAGAGUCAGACAAUGUUCAUAAUAAUUAAGGAUAUUCUGAAGUUUUUGACAAAGAUAUCCCAUCAUGAUCGAAUGAAAAAUGUUUGAAGCAUUAUAUCUUGAAAUAUCUCAUUAAAAUCAUACUUAGCAAAUUUUUUCUUUCUCUUGUUCAUCUCUGUUAGCCUUUUCUUUUUUUCAACUAAGG
Molecule: long non-coding RNA, 1841 nt
Filed under: Glycine max (soybean)
Lineage: Eukaryota; Viridiplantae; Streptophyta; Magnoliopsida; Fabales; Fabaceae
Description: long non-coding RNA (GMAX_LNC000348)
Source: RNAcentral